Cydia pomonella (codling moth) is the source of this 1446-nucleotide long non-coding RNA. RefSeq lists it as uncharacterized. The record is from RefSeq and is a predicted model, not a curated record. NCBI's taxonomy places the organism in Eukaryota, Metazoa, Arthropoda, Insecta, Lepidoptera, Tortricidae. The transcript is spliced from 6 exons.
CAGACGAACCAUUGAAAAAUAAUAAAAUUUAAAAUUAUCUACCCUACUGUAAACACUUCACCGUUAUGACAUAUGAAAAUAAGUCUUACUUAUGAACCGUUUAAUACUAUUAUCUAUCUUUCUAUUUAAUAAUUAAAUACAUAUAACCAUUUCACACUCAAACCCAUAUUUGAAAUAACUUGAUAAAAUUUAUUUAAAAAUGAUGCAUUAAUAUCUCUUUAGAAUAUAAAAUUGUGAUAAUGCAUGUUCAUUGACAUGUCAUCAUCGUGUUUUGCUGUCAAAGAUCUCAUUCACUAUGAGGUGUGUAAUUAGUCAUGGUCUUAGCUUCUUGUGAAGUGUAUAGUCAACAAAAACUACCCUUUGAAAAUGGGUCGAAUCGUCAUACGAUAUUAGCCUACUGAUAAGAAUUUGUUGACUAUUUUGUGUAUUUCUUUGUAAUAAAAAUAUCAACAAAUCCAGGUUGAUUGCAAUCUGACAUUUGUCUAAUUGUAAAAAUCCAUAUAUACAAAAAUAUUACAAACUUUCACACACUUCUUGCAAAAACAUCAAAUAUCCAUUAGUCUAUUCUUAUAAUUAAAUAGUUAAUCAUCUUUCAUUGGCUUUCAUUUCCCAGUUCACUCAAUCUAUCCCAGACCAUUUCUACAGAUAGCCAAAGUCACGAUAUGCAACCAGAGUUAAAAUGCAUCCAAUAAAACUUACUUUUGAAAAACAAUAUUUCAGACAACCCCAAGCUCCCUCCUAUAUAUUGUAUAACAAUAUCAAACGUAAUGUGUAUUGACAAAACUGUUUAUAUUUAAGUUAAAGUUGUUUGUUAAGAUAACGUUAAUACCGUACCGUUUUAUUUAAGGUUACGUUAUUACAUCUUAUCAUGGCAACACUAAAACUCAAUAUUUUAUCAUGGCAACCCCGCAAUGAAGCGUCCCGGAAGUGACAGAGGGGAUGUGUUAAGCUUCUCUCUGAUCAAACUGACCGUUGUCACUGGCUCAGUUUUGAAUUUCACCCUGUGUCGUGAAGUGAAAUGUAAUUGUGAAGUGUAAUAAAUUUUGUUGCUGAAGAAAAUAAUUGGCUCUAAUGAAUGAAUCCGGGUUGCUGGAUGAGUUGGGUGACCCUGAAUCUACCCUUUAGAUACGUAAGGCGUUUUUGAGUAAGCUGAUAUGUAAUUAGUCCUCCUAAUUAUAUGACGACAUUUGAUAAAUGUUCCAAGUAACGAGGUAUCGAGUGCCACUGAAUGCUGUCCUGUUAUUUUAUUUUGAGCUAAACUACCACAUUCAGCAUCUCUACACUCGACCCGCGACCCCAAGAACCAGUGUUCUUCUACUCUAGACUUGGUAAUAUUAGUCCCUACAAUGCAAGUUACAUCGGUAGAGUGAAGCCAAGAGGAGAAAAAAUUAUAUUGAUAAUAUUAUAAUAUAUAGAUAUAAUUUAAAAAAAAUUCAAGAAAAAUCC